Molecule: ribosomal RNA, 253 nt
Filed under: uncultured bacterium
Lineage: Bacteria
Description: partial 16S ribosomal RNA
Rfam family: Bacterial small subunit ribosomal RNA
Source: RNAcentral
UACGUAGGGUGCAAGCGUUAAUCGGAAUUACUGGGCGUAAAGCGUACGCAGGCGGCUUUGCAAGACAGGUGUGAAAUCCCCGGGCCUAACCUGGGAACUGCAUUUGUGACUGCAUGGCUAGAGUUUGUCAGAGGGGGGUGGAAUUCCACGUGUAGCAGUGAAAUGCGUAGAUAUGUGGAGGAACACCGAUGGCGAAGGCAGCCCCCUGGGAUGUGACUGACGCUCAUGUACGAAAGCGUGUGGAGCAAACAGG